AGAUGUAAGAGCAGUCUGGCCAUGACAUUUGUGACCCCAGUGAUGUCCGGGGUUGAUUAAGCUGAUCUGACUGGCUAGGCAGGUAGUUCCCUUCCUCCCUCACUGCUUUUUUCCCUAAGCUGCAUGCUUGGUCAGGUUUGGGCAGAGAGGACCUUUCUCCGGUCAAGGGUCUAUGAGUAGCUGCGCUCCUCUGCUGGAACGUCCAACAAGCCCUCAAAGUCCAUUUGUAGGAGAACGUAGGGUAGUCAGGCUUCCAAGUCUCCUGACGCAUCCAGAUGAGGCGCUGCAUGUGGCAGUCUGCCUCUCUUU
RNAcentral lists this small nuclear RNA (309 nucleotides) under Ursus maritimus (polar bear). RNAcentral describes it as "7SK RNA (ENSUMAG00000010524.1)". It matches the Rfam family "7SK RNA". From Rfam's summary of the family: 7SK was discovered as an abundant small nuclear RNA in the mid-70s but a possible function has only recently been suggested. Two independent studies have found that 7SK RNA binds the CDK9/cyclin T complex (known as elongation factor P-TEFb). The record is from Rfam by way of RNAcentral. Lineage: Eukaryota; Metazoa; Chordata; Mammalia; Carnivora; Ursidae.